RNAcentral lists this ribosomal RNA (254 nucleotides) under uncultured bacterium. RNAcentral describes it as "partial 16S ribosomal RNA". It matches the Rfam family "Bacterial small subunit ribosomal RNA", at positions 524 to 776 of the family's 1533-position model. The record is from RNAcentral.
UACGGGGGGAGCAAGCGUUGUUCGGAUUUACUGGGCGUAAAGGGCGCGUAGGCGGCCACUGCAAGUCGGGUGUGAAAUCUCCGGGCUUAACCCGGAAAGGUCAAUCGAUACUGCAGGGCUAGAGUGCAGAAGGGGCAACUGGAAUUCUCGGUGUAGCGGUGAAAUGCGUAGAUAUCGAGAGGAACACCUGCGGCGAAGGCGGGUUGCUGGGCUGACACUGACGCUGAAGCGCGAAAGCUAGGGGAGCGAACGGG